Molecule: ribosomal RNA, 707 nt
Filed under: Thermococcus sp. Tc85-4C-I
Lineage: Archaea; Methanobacteriati; Methanobacteriota; Thermococci; Thermococcales; Thermococcaceae
Description: bacterial SSU rRNA
Rfam family: Archaeal small subunit ribosomal RNA
Source: RNAcentral
UUCCCGGUUGAUCCUGCCGGAGGCCACUGCUAUGGGGGUCCGACUAAGCCAUGCGAGUCAUGGGGCGCGCUCUGCGCGCACCGGCGGACGGCUCAGUAACACGUCGGUAACCUACCCUCGGGAGGGGGAUAACCCCGGGAAACUGGGGCUAAUCCCCCAUAGGCCUGAGGUACUGGAAGGUCCUCAGGCCGAAAGGGGCAUCUGCCCGCCCGAGGAUGGGCCGGCGGCCGAUUAGGUAGUUGGUGGGGUAACGGCCCACCAAGCCGAAGAUCGGUACGGGCCAUGAGAGUGGGAGCCCGGAGAUGGACACUGAGACACGGGUCCAGGCCCUACGGGGCGCAGCAGGCGCGAAACCUCCGCAAUGCGGGCAACCGCGACGGGGGGACCCCCAGUGCCGUGGCAUCGCCACGGCUUUUCCGGAGUGUAAAAAGCUCCGGGAAUAAGGGCUGGGCAAGGCCGGUGGCAGCCGCCGCGGUAAUACCGGCGGCCCGAGUGGUGGCCGCUAUUAUUGGGCCUAAAGCGUCCGUAGCCGGGCCCGUAAGUCCCUGGCGAAAUCCCACGGCUCAACCGUGGGGCUUGCUGGGGAUACUGCGGGCCUUGGGACCGGGAGAGGCCGGGGGUACCCCUGGGGUAGGGGUGAAAUCCUAUAAUCCCAGGGGGACCGCCAGUGGCGAAGGCGCCCGGCUGGAACGGGUCCGACGGUGAGG